This 37974-nucleotide long non-coding RNA is filed under the name Citrus sinensis (sweet orange). Its description in RNAcentral is "long non-coding RNA (CSIN_LNC001294)". Lineage: Eukaryota; Viridiplantae; Streptophyta; Magnoliopsida; Sapindales; Rutaceae. The record is from RNAcentral.
AUUGAAAAAAUGAUUAUAAAAUUCUUGUACGUACCCUUUCCGUCAAGAUAUUAGUAGUUCUUUUGUAUCUCGCCAUGAAUUCAGGACAUGCAGAUAUCCAUAAUUCUUUCAAGGAUGGAAAUUCAAGAAUAUCAAGAUCUCCAGUGCAGAAGCUUGUGAUCUUUUCAAGAUCAGACAUCUCCAGAUAUUGCAACUGAGGAAACAUUACAAUAUUAUUCUUCCUUUCUUCUUGGUUGUCCACGACUAUUAACUCUUCCAGGACAGGACAUUUACUUAUCUCAAUGCUUUGGAGUCGAACAAAGCUACUAACAGUAGAAGAUGAAAAUAGACAUCUUAAAUUCAUACAUCCGUGCAGGAUCAAGCGUGUUAAAUUCUGAUUACCACAAGACAUGACUGUAACUUGGCUCGGCCAAAUCCUCUCAACAUUUAUUGACACCAACUCCAACUUCUCUAACUCUGGUAAUGCAACCUGCACGAUCAAAAAAUUAACUUGUUAAUUACAAGCAACAAUGAUUUCUGUUGAUGGACAAAUCAAUAAAAUUACUCUUUCUCUGGUUAUAGUUCUUUUCAGUUUUUCAUACAAACAACCGUUAAUCAAGUUUNNNNNNNNCAUGUAAGACGAUUGAAGUGCAAUGCUUUAUUGCACUUCCGUCCGACCAUUCCCUGCAACCAUCAACCUGCUCAUUUGUAGCAGUAAACACAUUUCGUUCAGUAGAUGCAAUUGAUAUGGCGACAUCGCGAACUACAUCAUGCAUAGAAAACAACUCUUUCUUCUGGCUUAUAUGGUCAAGCAACAUACAAGAAGCUUUGAGUGUGCGCACCAAUGUAUGUACUCGAUUUCGUGCUGCUUCCAUCUUAUUCACACCUUGAAAUAAACUCAAUCCCAUACCACACAUUAACAGUUCGUCAAUAGAUGCUAUGGCUGUAUAUCCUAUUAGCAAAAAGAUGUUCUUCAGCUCCUCCCCUACCAAUUUGUCGUAACUCAACUUUAUGGCUUUAUAUGCAUCUGGCUGUACAUGCUUAAAAUUCGAUGAAGAGGGCCUUCCUAGUUUUUCCAAUGCAUCCUUCCAUUCCUGUAUGUUCUUGUUCCUUAAUGCCCUUGCAACCGUCACAAUGGAAACUGGCAGACCUGCACAUCCCUUUGCCACAUCCCUUGCUACCGAUUGGAAUUCACUACCUUCAAUAUAAUCACCUGCCAUCUUCUUGAAUAGAUUCCAAGCUUCUUCUUUGUUUAAAACACCAAUUGAGAAAUUUGUUCGACAAUCCAUCUUCUCAGACAAUACAUUUAGACUUCUGGCCGUCAACAAUACUUUACAACCAUCUCCAAGAGGAAUUCGGACACUCCCCAAAUUAAGAUUUUCCCAAAUGUUGUCUAAAACUAUCAGGAUCUUCUUCACUUUUUUUAUACCUUCAUAUAAGCUGCCUGCCCUUCCUUCAUCACUUUCCUCAUGCAACUUCAGGCCUAAUUUAUCUGCGAUUACUCCUUGAAUCUUUCGUAUGUCUUGAUUCUGAGACACCUCAACAAAAACCACCUGAUCAAAGAGUUUGUCACUCUUGACUUUCCUAGCAACUUCUUCGGCCAGCAUCGUCUUUCCGAUGCCACCCAUUCCAUAAAUCCCAAGCAUGUUGACAUCGCGAUCUUCUAGUGCACUGAGUAUACUCCUCAAAGUGGACAUUCUUGAUUCAAAGGGCUCGUAGUCUUUGUUAGGGAUAAAUUUUUUUAAAAGGUAAAAGAGCGUACAAAACCCAAAUUCAUUUUUUUAGUCCCUUACUCUCCCAUGAUUCAAACUUCACUUUUUUUUUCUUUUUCUUUUUUUUCUUUUUUUGUUGAGAGAAAAGAGAAGAAGGAUAUUACAAAGCAUGAAGCUCGUGCAAUAUAAGGGCAAUUAUGGUUUUUUCUUUAAAUUAAAAUGGUAAGAUUCUGAAGCUAAAAGAUUAAAAUAUUAAUUAAAUUGCAAACAUUAAAGAUUUUUUUUCCAAAAUUGGUUGCUUUGAAAAUGAGAAUAAUAUAAUAUUUGAAGACUUUUUCAAAAUUAAUUACUGUGAUGCACUAGAAAUUUAUAGCUUUAGUCUAAUGUAUAAAUUGACAAAACGAUAUUAGAAUCCCAGGUGAAAAGAACCCUCUCAUACCAUUUUCUUAAAUUAGGAAUGAUCAUACCUCUGACUCUGCCGGACUGAGGGCGAGGCGUGAACCCCUCAUACGGAGACGCUUGAGAUGGGAAGAGCCUACUUUGACUAACUCGUUACGAAAAUAAUCGACAUCUUGCUCUUGCAAUCUACGUAAUUCAAGGUCUUCAAUUCUCUGCAGUUGCACGAUCAGCGAAUCCUUCAAGCGAAUCUUGUCAUUUAGCUCGAGUCUGAAUUCACGACACCAAAUGCCAGUGCUCUCCCAAUAUUCCCAACCCUCAUCCUCAUCCUCAUCCUCAUCAUCUCCAAUGCGGAUGAUAUGUAUGCUGUACCUUUCCAGCUUCUCCAAGAGCAGGCCUCUGGGCAGAGUGCCGACGUCAUAGACGUGUAAUUCCAAAGAGGUCAAGUUGGGUAAAUGCUUCAACUCCUCAAGGCUUGCAUUCUUAACCCCUUCCACCUCCACCUCCCAAUCGGCAAAGUCAAAGAGUUCACUAGCUAUAUAUAGUUCUUCUAAAUGGGAUAAUUUUGACAGUAUAUUUGGUGGAAUAACUUUUAGUGCAAAACAAUCUCUCAAAUCAAGCAACUUUAGCCAAGUCAAUUCACCUACUUCUACCGGCAACUUCUUAAUAUAAGAACCUCUUAAGCAAAGGAUUUCUAGUUUCUUCAAGUCUCCUACAACACUUAUAUCAGGCAAACUGCAGCGACACAAACUCAGUGUUCGAAGGUUUGACAGGAGACCAAGUGAUGGAGGCAGUGACCGUAUGUAAGUCAAGUUUACAACUCUGACCUCGAUCAUGCUCUUGAAAAGGUUGUCUGGAAUUGUUACUGGUGAGGUUUCGCAAGGAUCAUCACUAAUAAAAAGAAGUUCGAGCUGAGGACAUUCCAGUACUUUAGGAAGCAAAUUAGGCUUGAUAUCAUGUAUGACGAUUGAAGUGCAAUGCUUUAUUGCACUUCCGUCUGACCAUUCCCUGCAACCAUCAACCUGCUCAUUUGUAGCAGUAAACACAUUUCGUUCAGUAGAUGCAAUUGAUAUGGCGACAUCGCGAACUACAUCAUGCAUAGAAAACAACUCUUUCUUCUGGCUUAUAUGGUCAAGCAACAUACAAGAAGCUUUGAGUGUGCGCACCAAUGUAUGUACUCGAUUUCGUGCUACUUCAAUCUUAUUCACACCUUGAAAUAAACCCAAUCCCAAACCUUAUAUUAUAUUAUGUUUCCAUAUUUCUCCUUUAUAGUGAAGACUCGUACUUCUUCUCUAAUAAAUGCUAAAGUAUUGGCUUAAAUUUUUUAACCGGCACAGUAGACCCUUAAGCUAUAUAUACUAUAAUGUCCCUCUUCUCUCACAGAUUAAACCAAUCUGAUCUCAGAGUGAGUUGAUACCAUGACUUUGCAUCAUUCGUGAUCAAAGGAGCAUCAUUACUAACUAAUAUAGGCUCGAUCAAUAGGCAUGAUAAUAAUUUUUUUUUAUCUACAAACACUAUUUUUCAAAAUAUUUUAUCUUAAGACUAACUAAAUAUUUUUUAACUAUGUAGAUAUAGGUUGUUUGAUCUCUUUUAAAUAGUGGAGAUUACAAACAAACGGAUGCGAAUUAGUAGUGAUGUUGAGUUCAGAAGAUUGAAGUUAAGAAAAUUAAGGGUUUCUUGAUCUAGGGAAAUUUCAAAAGAGAGGCAGUGACCGUAUGUAAGUCAAGUUUACAACUCUGACCUCGAUCAUGCUCUUGAAAAGGUUGUCUGGAAUUGUUACUGGUGAGGUUUCGCAAGGAUCAUCACUAAUAAAAAGAAGUUCGAGCUGAGGACAUUCCAGUACUUUAGGAAGCAAAUUAGGCUUGAUAUCAUGUAUGACGAUUGAAGUGCAAUGCUUUAUUGCACUUCCGUCUGACCAUUCCCUGCAACCAUCAACCUGCUCAUUUGUAGCAGUAAACACAUUUCGUUCAGUAGAUGCAAUUGAUAUGGCGACAUCGCGAACUACAUCAUGCAUAGAAAACAACUCUUUCUUCUGGCUUAUAUGGUCAAGCAACAUACAAGAAGCUUUGAGUGUGCGCACCAAUGUAUGUACUCGAUUUCGUGCUGCUUCCAUCUUAUUCACACCUUGAAAUAAACUCAAUCCCAUACCACACAUUAACAGUUCGUCAAUAGAUGCUAUGGCUGUAUAUCCUAUUAGCAAAAAGAUGUUCUUCAGCUCCUCCCCUACCAAUUUGUCGUAACUCAACUUUAUGGCUUUAUAUGCAUCUGGCUGUACAUGCUUAAAAUUCGAUGAAGAGGGCCUUCCUAGUUUUUCCAAUGCAUCCUUCCAUUCCUGUAUGUUCUUGUUCCUUAAUGCCCUUGCAACCGUCACAAUGGAAACUGGCAGACCUGCACAUCCCUUUGCCACAUCCCUUGCUACCGAUUGGAAUUCACUACCUUCAAUAUAAUCACCUGCCAUCUUCUUGAAUAGAUUCCAAGCUUCUUCUUUGUUUAAAACACCAAUUGAGAAAUUUGUUCGACAAUCCAUCUUCUCAGACAAUACAUUUAGACUUCUGGCCGUCAACAAUACUUUACAACCAUCUCCAAGAGGAAUUCGGACACUCCCCAAAUUAAGAUUUUCCCAAAUGUUGUCUAAAACUAUCAGGAUCUUCUUCACUUUUUUUAUACCUUCAUAUAAGCUGCCUGCCCUUCCUUCAUCACUUUCCUCAUGCAACUUCAGGCCUAAUUUAUCUGCGAUUACUCCUUGAAUCUUUCGUAUGUCUUGAUUCUGAGACACCUCAACAAAAACCACCUGAUCAAAGAGUUUGUCACUCUUGACUUUCCUAGCAACUUCUUCGGCCAGCAUCGUCUUUCCGAUGCCACCCAUUCCAUAAAUCCCAAGCAUGUUGACAUCGCGAUCUUCUAGUGCACUGAGUAUACUCCUCAAAGUGGACAUUCUUGAUUCAAAGGGCUCGUAGUCUUUGUUAGGGAUAAGCCGAAUAUCCUCUGGAGCAGUACGGUAGGAAAUUCUAUCAAAUCUUCUAGCGUCCAGGACUUUGACAACAGCCUCCUUCUGCCUCUCUGCUUCCUUGCUAAGUCGACGGCGGGUCUUCAAAUUAGGUAUUAACCCCUUGAAACAACGCUUAUUUUCAAUGGCUUCAUCGUCUGUAAAUUUAUCUGCCUUAACAAUGACAUCAUUUGCCCCUUCGAGCCAAUUCUCAACGUUCUCUUCAAUCGCUUCCCCUUUUGUUUUAGCCUCAGCAACCCGGUGCUCUAUACUAACCUUCUCAGACUUCAGAUUGUCAACUUCAGUCUUGAGAUUGUCUAAGAUGCUCGUGUACUUACUCUCACGCAAAUAGCUAAUUUGGCGAUAUGCGGGAGGAGCCAAGCACUUCACAACUUCUACAACAAUAGUAAGAAUGAUUUCAGCCAUCUUCAAUCCUUUGUCCUUGUCUCUCUAUCUCUCUUUUUUCUGAAUUUGUGAAAAACAAUUGAUCCAGUUAGGAAGCACACUGAGUGAUUGAACACAAGUGACCACAACAAGAUGGAACAAAAUUAAAAGGAAAAAAAUAGAAAGAGUGGAUGGAGAAUAAAACAGAGACAGCGGCACAGCUGGACACAACUAGAUAGAGAACAGAGGAAAACCAAAUAACAAGACUUAAGAUUACAACAAACAGAGGCCAAGUAUUGUUGAGAUCAGAAGAUGGAAAAUUCAAAAGAGUUGAUGACAGAUGCUGAAUAACAGAACAACAAUGAACGCAAUAAACAGAAGCAAAGUGUGGUUGUGAUCGACAGACGGAAGUAAGGAAAAGCGGUUGUCGAUUGAAAAUGAAUGAAUGCAAGGAAAGACUGAUAUUGAAAAUUGACGUCAAUAGCGAAGGAAUAAUUGAACUUUCGCUUAAUUAUUGUUUGUGGCCUUGUUUUACUUUUUAUUUGUGGGUCAUGUCUUUUGGAACUAAUCAUCUUAGCUUAUGCUUUACAGCUUUAAGGCCAGUAACCGGUGUCCGUUGGAUAAGCAUAUAGAAAUCCAACGGUGGAUAUAUAUCCUUGGGAAUAAAAUUCAAGAGCAAAGGGAGUGCUGGGCUGCAGUUUCUUAAGGAGAUUUAUAUAUCCUCCUCAAAAAUAAAUGUUUUAAGGUAGAUAUUUAGACUAUUUCAUCAUAAAAUGAAUGUAAUUAAUUUUCAAUAAAUAUCUUAUAUAAAUAUUUAUUUAUUUUUUUAAUUACUAAUGACCUUUGAAUAUACAUAUAUACAUAUCACUAAUUCAAAAAUAAAUUGUGAUUAUUUGUUAAUAUAUGCGAUUACUUGUGAUGGUAAACAAAGUAGAUAUGGUAUAUUUUGAAGUUAAAUUAAAAAAAAAAAAAACAGAGCUUUUACCAUUACUUGCCUUAUCAUCUUUUAAAUUAGAAUUAUUAUUCUUUUAUUUUUCAAGUUGCCAACUCAUCCGCAUUCUCUUGUAUUGAAUUUGAAGAUCAAUGAUUAUAAAUUUGUGUGAAAAUUUUAAGUCAAAACUUUAAAUUAAAAUAAUCUUUAAGUUAUUGGGAAAUAAUACCUUAGUAUAACAAAUAUUAUAUCCUAUACUUUAUUGCUACAAAAUUACGAAACCUUAUAUUAUAUUAUGUUUCCAUAUUUCUCCUUUAUAGUGAAGACUCGUACUUCUUCUCUAAUAAAUGCUAAAGUAUUGGCUUAAAUUUUUUAACCGGCACAGUAGACCCUUAAGCUAUAUAUACUAUAAUGUCCCUCUUCUCUCACAGAUUAAACCAAUCUGAUCUCAGAGUGAGUUGAUACCAUGACUUUGCAUCAUUCGUGAUCAAAGGAGCAUCAUUACUAACUAAUAUAGGCUCGAUCAAUAGGCAUGAUAAUAAUUUUUUUUUAUCUACAAACACUAUUUUUCAAAAUAUUUUAUCUUAAGACUAACUAAAUAUUUUUUAACUAUGUAGAUAUAGUUUGUUUGAUCUCUUUUAAAUAGUGGAGAUUACAAACAAACGGAUGCGAAUUAGUAGUGAUGUUGAGUUCAGAAGAUUGAAGUUAAGAAAAUUAAGGGUUUCUUGAUCUAGGGAAAUUUCAAAAGAGUGAAGCGUCCUCAAAAUCGGAAGACGAAAAAUAAGGAAAGGGUAAGGGUGUAUUUUCAAAGUAAUUCUAUUAGUAGAUCUUUGAAGUAGGGGUGGGCAAAUCAGGUUAGUUCGGUUUAAAACGGAUUGAAACAAUUUAAUCCAAAAAUUCUACCAACAACCACUUAAAAUCCAAAAAUCUUAAUUCCAAACAUCCUUAAUAACAAAUAUCAACUACAAACCAUCAUUAACAAUAUUUCAACAAUAACAAUAACAAUAAUAACAACAACAACAACAAUAAUAAUAACAACUAUGAAUUAGCAAUUCAGCAUAUUGCCAUAUUCUAAAUUUAAAAAAAAAACACAAAUUAAUUAAUUAACAAUCUCCAAUUUAAUUUAUAAUAACAGCAAAAAUCCUCCCCAAUUUAAUUAAUAUCAGUCUCCAAUUAUUCAAUUAUCAGUCAAUAGCAACAAACCCACUCCAAUAUAAUUAUAACAAUCUCCAAUUGUUCAAUUAUCAGUCAACAACAACAAAUCCUCUCCAAUUUGUCACGAACAGCCUCUAAUUGUUUAAUUUUCAGUCAACAACAACAAACUCACUCCAAAUAAUUGAACAAUUGUUAAUUAAUUAAUUAAAAAUAUCCAAUUUAAUUAAUAACAACACCCAAGAGCAAGUCAGCAAUAAACCCACUCCAAAAUCCAAAUAUCAGUAUAAACUAAGUGUCAAACCUUGAUCGGUGGGAAGCUACAACGUCGGCAAAGCGUGACCAUGUGGGGCUGAGUGAGACCGUCGACCGAGGGUGUGUGAAGGGAGAAGAGGGAGCAGGGAGGUAACGUGGUGUGUGUGAGUUUAUAUAUAUAUAUUAAAAGCUAAAACUUAAAAAAAAAAAUUUAACUCAAUCCAAACGCACACCUAGAUUACUUCCGUUAAGAGCUGAAUCCCACACUCUUGAGCCUUUGUCGUUCCAGUCAACUAUAAAAACAAAUCAUUAUUGAGUGUGAACAGACUUAUUGAUCACCAAAUUUUCAAACUUGUCAUCCUUAUUGAAUCUGCGUUCCCUUUUAAUAAAAUUUAAAAAAGUACAAAUAAUGAAACAAAGUUAUGUUCCUUCAACAGUUGAUAGAGUUACGCGGCUUCAACUUGCAAGUCCAGUCGGCAUUUUCAAACUUGUAAUACCCUUACAACUUGCUUUCCAAGAUAGCUAUAAUUAAUAAUGACAAUAGUCUCCCCUAUAGCGACUAGUGAGCAACUUGUUUCGUGAAAUUAACGGCAUCUUCUCUCGCAUUUUAAAAAAAAAUUGAAUUAUAUAACCCACCAAAACUAUAAAAGAAUUGUUAGUUUUUCUUCAUUAAAAUUAAUAUAUUGCUCCUCAUAUUGAAAAAUCAAAAUUCAGAAUAAGAAUGAUUGAUACUUUUUAUUUACUAAAAUGAAAAUAAAAUAUAUGAAGCCUACAUAUUUUUUAAAUUAAAAAAUAAGAACUUUAUUUUCUACGGGGAGUGUUGGGAAUCAAGUUCUCAUUAUUUAAACUCUCAAUUGUACUUCAUCGAAAUUUCAUAAUUUCACUUUUGUUCUCAAUUAAAAUAUUAUUGUAGUUAUUAUUCUUAUUUUUAUAGUUGUUGUUGAUGAUGAUGGUGAUAAUGAUGAUGAUGAUGAUACAAGAUAAUAAAAUUAAUGAUAAUUAAACCAAUUUGAAUUCAGAGUGAGUGAGUACCAUUACUUCGCAUCAUUUGAUAUCAAAGGAGCAUCAUUACUAACUAAUAUAGGCUCGAUCGAAUUCAUUAUGCGAAGUAUAUUAUCGGCUGUAGGUAUGGAAAUAAAUUUUGUAUCCACAAACACUAUUUUUCAAAAUAUUUUAAGACUUGACUUAGCAUUUUUUAACCAUAUAUGUAUAGGUUGUUUGACCUAUUUUAAAUAGUGGAGAUUACAACAAAUGAACAGAUGUGGAUUUGUAGAGUUGUUGAGUUCAGAAGAUUGAAGUUAACAAAGGGUUUCUUUAUCUAGAGAAAAUUCGAAAGAGCGAAGUGUCUUCGAGAUCAAAAGACGAAAUAAGGAAAGGGUAAGGUUAUACUUUCAAAAUGAAUCUGUUGAGAGAACUUUAAAGAUUACUUCCGUUAAGAGCUGGAUCCCACACUUGAGUCUUCGUCGUCUCAGUCAGUCAACUAUAAGGACAAAUUAAUUUUGAGUGUGAAAGGACACAAUUGAUCACCAAAUUUUCAAACUAGUGAUCCUUAUUGAAUCUACAUUCCCAUUUGAAAAACAAUAAAAGAUUAACAUUAAUUUAACUUCAUCUAAAUUCCCAUUUGAAUCUGCAUUCCCAUUCCCUUGUUCUCUGGGAAUGCACAUAAUCAAACAAAAUCCUAUCCGCAUUUUCAAACUCGUGACCCUUCAAGCUUUCUAUGACAACUAUAAUGAAUAAUUACAACAAUGCUACCUAAUAGUGAGAACUUGUUUGAUGAAAUUAACAGCUUCUUUUCUCUCAUGUAUUUUAAAAAAAAUUAAAUUAUCAAAGUUUUUAUUUCAAAAUUAGUGCUAUAGUUCAUUAAUUUUUCAAAUUUUCCUUUUUCUUUCCACACAACAGAUUGAUUUGCCCUCCAAAAAAUGUAUUAUAUUGUUUAAUAUUGUAACUUCAAGAAACUUAUAAUAAAUUUUUAAAGAGAUAAAUAGAGAAUAUCAGUCUCCCAUCUACUCAAAAUUAAUAUAUAUCAUUAACUCUUGAUUAUUUUUAUAACAACUAAUAACUUUCUUGGCAGCAUAAUUUUACAGUAUCAUCCUUGUUUGACGUUUGUAAGUAUAUUUUUAUUCAUAUUUAUUAUAAAUUAAUUAAAUCAUAUCAAUGAAAAUUGAAAUAAAAAUUGAAGUACUACAAAUUAAAAAAAUAUGUUUUGGUGUGAAUAAAAAAUUGAAAAUAAAAAUAUUUUUCUUAUAUUUUUUGUUAUUUUUAAAUUUUUCUUAUAAUAAAUGUAUAUUUUAUGUGCUCAACUUUUUCUUUAAAUUUUUGUUAUUAGGAGGAUUUUUAGAUAUAAUGAAAAUUGUAAAGUAGUAAGUAAUAUAUAAUAAUUUUAAUAGAGAAAAGUAAAAAAUCUCUUAUUUUAAAAUACAAGGAGAAAAAUAAUUAAUUUCAAGACAUUUUAGAAGAUAUUUCAAUAUGCGGUGGACCACAAACUCGAGUCUUUGUCAUCUCAGUCAAACUAAAAGGACAGAAUAUUGAGGGCAUGGCUAACGUGCAGAAGCUACAAGUAACAGCUUCGAACUUUCCCAUUUCCAUCACCUUGCAUUGGGAGUUUGGGACCUCUUUCUCUCUCCUCUAGCAGCCGUGGAAGUUCCCCAUUGGCUACUGUUACUUACAGAAGCUGUAACAUAGACUUCUCCGAAUAUUGACCGCGAAGGGCUCAAGUGAUUGUUCAUUUCACAGCAAUUGCCUUUUUUCUUUUUUUCUAAUUAUUGGGAAAUAAGAACUUAGUAUAACAAAUAUUAUAUCCUAUACUUUAUUGCUAAAAAAUUACAAAACCUUAUAUUAUAUUAUGUUUCCAUAUUUCUCCUUUAUAGUGAAGACUCAUACUUCUUCUCUAGUAAACGCUAAAGCAUUGGCUUAAACUUUUUAACCAGCACAGUAGACCCUUAAGCUAUAUAUACUAUAAUGUCUCUCUUCCCUCACAGAUUAAACCAAUCUAUCUCAUAGUAAGUUUGCAUCAAAGGAGUAUCAUUACUAACUAAUAUAGGCUCGAUCAAUAGAGAUGACAAUAAUUUUUUUAUCUACGAACAUUAUUUUUUCAAAAUAUUAUAUCUUUAGACAUAACUAAAUAUUUUUUAACCAUAUAUGUAUAGUUUGAUUAAAUAGUGGACAUUACAACAAAACAUAUGCGAAUUAGUUGUGAUGUUGAUUUCAGAAGAUUGAAGUUAAAAAAAUAAAGGGUUUCUUGAUCUAGGGAAAUUUCAAAAGAGUGAAGCGUCUUUUAGAUCAUGACGAAAAAAAAGAAAGGGUAAGGGUGUAUUUUCAAAGUGAUUCUAUUGAAAGAUCUUUAAAGAUUACUUUCGUUAAGAGCUGUAUUCCACACUCUUGAGCCUUUGUCGUCUCAGUCAACUAUAAAGAUACAUUAUUAUUGAGUGUGAACAUUCCGACUUAUAGAUCACCAAAUUUUUAAACUUGUGAUCUUCGUUGAAUCUGCAAUCCCUUUUGAAAAAAAAAAAAAAAAAAGGGGAAAACUGCAAAUAAUGAAACAAAAUUCUGUUCCUUGAUAGAGUUACGCGGCUUCAACUUGCAAGUGCUGUCGGCAUUUUCAAACUUGUAUGACCCUUCAACUUGCUUUCCAAGAUGGCUAUAAUUAAUAAUGACAACCGAAGACGGCUACGUUUGCGGUACAAAAGUUGCACCAUAUUAGACGUUCUUUUUUGUUCUUAUCCGAAGUAACCGUUGGAUUCAAAGGAAAGUGAUCAGACAUUCAAUAGCUUCACACGUGGACAUUAUAGGAUACCGGUCAAAUCGGUUAGUGCUCCUCCUCAAUCAAACUCACAAGCAUGGCUAUCAUCGUAUCAGCUUGGAAACUUGUUACAAGUGACUAAGAGCAACAGGGUCCGCUCCUCUAGAGUCGGUUAGUGCUCAAUAAUGUUACAGGUUUUAUAAUCUAUGUAACUGGUACGAUCGCUGUCUCAAGUGGUAAACUUUUGAGGCACAAAUUUAGAACGAAAAGUUCCCAAUAAAAUAAGUUAUUUAAUUAAUUAAAUAAGAAUAAAAUGAAUUUGUGAAAAAAAAUUUAAAUUUAAUUUUGAAUUAUUUUGACCAAAAUUUAAGUUUUUUUUUUUAAUUUGUUUAAGAAAAUGCGUUGUAAUUGUCUUGUUUUAAUUGGAAAAUCAAUGAAAAAAUUAUGUAAAAAAAAAAAGCAAAACGCUUUGUUUUGGAUGGAGGCCAUAGAUUCCAAUAUUUCCUUCACGAAAACUACAAAAAAAUUAUCAAAGGCAUCAAUUUCUACACUCUCACCGAGCAAUACUCUUAACCCAGAAGAAAGUGUAUAAACCAACCCCAAUCAGUCCAUCAAUGUCGUCAACCUCAUACAGCAUAAAAAAAAUAUGUGUCCAUUAAACCGUCUUUAUUGAGCCAUUAGACUAUUCGUAUCAUCUUCCCGUCUCGUUGUAGUAUUUUGCCGUUCAAAACUAGUUAUCAAUUGGGGAAAAUGGGGACCAAUCUGCAAGUCUUUAAAAUAGAAAGAAACUUUAAUUGGGCACUAUGUUCACGGUGGCAGACCCAGCAGCAGCUAUUUGUGCUUUAAAAAUAAUUUUACACAUUCUAAUUUUAAUAAAAAUAUAUAUUACAAAAUUACUUAUCAUAUAAGUUACUGGACAAUAUAUUAUAAGUCAACAUUAUAUAAUUACUUUGAACACUUAUAUAGCCCAAUCCUAAUUCAAUUUAUUAUUCUCAUAACUUAAAUAUAAGUCAACAAUAUAAGGGGGUUGUGACAUGGGUUUAAACAUGAUUUAACAAGUGCCACCUGUGAAUUGUCAGAGAUUGUAUUUUCAUACACAUGUCAAAUUUUCAAGUCCAACCAAAUAAAGUUAAAUAACUUAAAAAAUUUAAGUAAGGAUAUUUUUAAAUUUUUAAACAGUAUACAAAGUAAAGUUUAUUUUCUUGUCAGUGGCAAAUGAUCACGACAAGAAAUCUAAAGUAGAAACAGCAGAGCUCAACAAAUCACUAAGAGAAAAUAAGACCAAUAACCAAGCAGAUAAAAGAAAAGCAAAAUAACCCAUCUCAAAAUCACCACAUGCACAAUUUAAGGGGUUUGUGACAUGGGUUUAAACAUGAUUUAACAAGUGCCACCUGUGAAUUGUCAGAGAUUGUAUUUUCAUACACAUGUCAAAGGGUGGGCAUAUUUUAACCGAACCGAUCCAAACCGAUCCAAACCGACCAUUUGGUCGGUUUGGAUCGGUUUCAUUAGUAAAAAAACUGGUUUCGGUUUAUUGGAUUGCAAACCGACAUCACUCGGUUUGGAUUUCGGUUUGGAAUGAUUCCAAACCGAUUCAAACCGAUCCAAUCCAAAAAUAUUAUAUAAUUACAUUAUAUUUUAAGUUAAGCAAUCUAACUAAUUAUAUUUAUCAUUUUAUGCAGAUUUUGACAAAUCAAAACUAAUUAGGCCAUAAGUUUUGACGGACAAGAUGCACAAUAUUUUAAUUGUCAAAUGUUGUUCAAGUUUAUUUUAAUUUUGUGAGUUUGUUUUGAAUGAAUAUGUUAAGAACUUCUUUAUUAGGAUGUAUUAUACCGUAAACUUGUAUGGAUGUAUCUUUAAAUUGUUAUGUAGAUGUCAAAGUAGAUAUGAAUAAUAUAAAAGAGGUAUCAAUUUGGAUUACGGACACAAAAAAAUAACAAAUAAUUUAGGUAAAAUAAUAAAAAAAGUGGGCUUUUAGCUAAUAAACUCAAACUGAGAAUCCAAACCGAUCCAAACCGAUCCAGUCGGUUUGGAUCGGUUCGGUUUGAAAAAUUUUUAAGUUGAUAUCGGUUUGAAAAUAUUUCAAACCGAUAAGUUUGGAUCGGUUUGAGAAUAUGUCUCAAACCGAUCCAAACCGACUUUGCCCACCCCUACACAUGUCAAAUUUUCAAGUCCAACAAAUUGUUAUCUUUCUAAAGAGGCUAAUAUUAUUAUUAUCUAUGCAUAGCAUGCUAUAAACAAUUCAUAUUACUGGGCCUUUGUUUUGUGUACACAACAUAUGGACAGAGGAACAAAUGCCUGAGCUAAAAUCAUCAUAUUCCAAAAUAUUCUAUUAAAUCAGCACCACAAAACGCGAACGCUAAACAGAAUUGGAGCAAUUUACCAAAGCUAUUUGUCACGCAAAGCACUAGUACCUCAGAACCCAAUUUGCAAAAAAGCACCAAAAAUGAAAAAUAACAAAUGCCCAGAUGAAAAAUCAGGAAAAAAAAAAUGCUCAAAUCCAAAUUACAACCCCAUAAGUUGAGUCGUUCUCUUCGAACUGAAUUAAAAAUAAAUAAAAAAAUUAAAAUGGGGAGAUUGACCUCAAACUUUGGAAACAGAAGCGACAGCGAUCUGUUUCUUGUCUGGAGUGUCCAUUUCUAUAAUCUACUUUGUCCGUUUUCAGUUGCUCUGCCACAGAGCUUCUUCCCUCUGAAGCUGAAGCUCACACACACUCGCAAAACGAAAGCAUUUUUUAUUGAUUGAGAGGCGGGAAGGCGGGAAAAUGAGAGAAAUUUGCAUUUGUUUUCUCUUGGUUUGGUCAUACUUGUGCGGGCCCCAGCUUGACAAGCGGUAUUAUUACUAUUUGUAUAAUUUACAUGACGCGUGUCACGCAAUGACGAUAAAAAAUAUAUAUAUAUUGUUAAUUUUUCACUUAACAUUGAAAUAUCAUAUAAUUUUUCCAAUUUUUUGGUUAUUUUCUCGCCCUUAUGCCACAUUCUUUUGAUCAAAUAAUACAGUAAAACUUUUCUAUAAUCAUAAUAUUAGAGCCAAAUUAACUUUAUUUCUGUAAAGAGGCUAUAGCUUAAUAAAGGUAAAAUUAUAAAAAAAAUAUUAUUUUGACUCAGUUAUCUUUAGUGCAAGUGAUAUAAAGUACAAAUAUAUGAUAAUUAAUUAAUGAACUAUGUCAAAUACAAUAUGCUAACAAUGAUAAAAAAAGAUAGACAUAAUUUCAAGAAACUAUGUAUUUAUGUAGUGCUGGGAUUAUACAAAAUUAUCUUAAAAGUGUAAAGAGUAAAGUAUUAUUCUGAUUAAUUUAUAAAAAAAUUAUUUUAUCUUAAUCUUUAAUGCAACAUAGCUUUUUCUUUUCUUAACAACAAAGCAUUGUUUCAAAUAAUAAUUAUUGGAUUCAAAUCAUGUCCUAGGCAUUUUUUCUUCUAGUCGUCUUAAACUUUUAAUGAUUUAUUGGGAUGUGUCAAUCAUUAAUGAAAUUAAAUAACUAAGACUUUGUUUUAAUUAACGUUUACAUAAAUAGACAUCAAAACUCAAGUGUGAUUCUUAUCAAUUUUUUCCUGCAAAUUCUUUUCCUCUCAACUAUUCAUAUUUUGACAUUAAUUUCCAGCAAAUUAUUAAAAAAAAAAAGAAGCGUAAAAUGGAGAAAAGUGAUUGACAACAAGGUUUGCAUCUUAAUUUCAAAAUUUUCCUUUCUUUGCUAUUUUUGUGAGUUCUACAAUUGUUGUUUUCACUCUCAGCUGCAGUUCAAUGAACUCUAUUAAUAACCAUGAAGCUUAAUGUAUCAAUUCCAGUACGAGAAGUCCUUCUACGCAUGUUACAACACUUUUUGGUCAUUAUAGGUUGCAAAUGUUCCGUAAUGUACUCAUUCAUAUAACGGAAACGCUAUUAUCAAUAAUGAAAGUUGACUAAGUUUGUAAAUUCUAUUUAACGAAAAAGUAACAUAAAUUUAGUUGAACAAGAGGUAAUCAAUAUGUAAUCUAUGAAACUAGGGUGUGACUAAGUUACAUAGUAAUGUAACUUACAUGAACACAAAAAUAAUUAGUUUUUAAACUACAAGUAAUUUUGGAACUGCUCUUAAAUUGAUAUAAGUUUUAUUAUUAUGUAACUUAGCAAGGUCAGGUAUUUUAAUAAUAGCACAUCACUAUUGUUUCAUGUGAAUGAUGCAAUUGGAUUAGCCAAUACAUACUGUCAUCCCCGGGAGAUGCUAUGGCAAUAGCUUACUCUACCGUGCCAAUGUCAUUAGUAUUAAUCUGUUGAGCCUAAGACCAGAUCUAAGCUGAUCUAGAUUCCCCAAGAUCGCACACCACACAGUGAUUAAUGAAUCAAGAACAAUAAACCAUCAAAGAAUCGCAAACUUACAUGUCGGGUUACAUGUAAUAAAUGUUUUAAUUAUUAGAUGAUUCAUAAUGUUAGACCAUUUUUUGUAUGUUUUGUAAUCUACGUUUGAUAAUUUAAUUAGCUGAUAAACAUUUGAAUAAUAUUAUUUCAUUAGCUAUGUCAUUGAUCCCCAGGAAAAAAAAAAAAAAAACCAAUUUGGGAUGUUAUACAUUACUUCCCAUUUUAGAUUAAUAUUUAUCACAUAUAUUCUUAGUAACUUGUAACCCUUUUUGCUAAGGGUGAAAUGUGUUUGUUACCCCUUCUAUUUCUGAGAUUGUCCUUACAAUAAGGAUGCCGGCCCCAAUGUCAAAAACUGCUAUCUCUAGGUGUAAAUUCCUUAUAAAAUUCUUUUUUAAUUGAAAUUACUUAAAUAAUUGAAGAUAAAUUAAUUUUUUAUUUCAUUCAAAUAAAAAAAAAUAAUUAAACACUUAAAUAAGCUAUCCUUUUAAUUUUUUUUUUUACACCCAUCCAGUUUCAUAAUUUAUAUUUAUAAUUUAAAUUUUAAUGGAAAAUAUUUUUUUGAAAAAUUUUAAGAAUUAAGAAUUAUGGGGAUAAAAAUUAUGUAAUAAGAACAAAAUAAUUUAAAAUUUUAAAAUUUGCAUGUAUUAUAAACAAAAACUUGAAAGAAAUACUCUUUUCAGGGUGAGAUUUAAUCAGAAAAAGAUUAAUUUUCAUUUAUGGAUCAGUAUUUUAUAAAUUAAACAGAGGUAUUUUAAGAAAUAGAAUUCAAAAGGCAUGGGAAAGAAAUACUCUUUUCAGUAAUUAUAAUGCUGUGGAGCUUGUCGGAGAUUCCCUGCCCAUUUGUAGCUUAGACUCCUGGGGUUUUGUUCAUGUCUUGUCUGUAUCCCAAUUUCUCAUGCAGCAGAUGUACAUAUGAUGAGAUGAAAACAACAGCAAAAAUUGCUGUCUCAUAAGAGAAAUAGUCAUACAUAGUUGGUUAGGCCUCCUGUCCAUUAACUUAAUAAUGAAUUUUAUGAAAAUUGAUUAUCUCAUUGGAAUUACAUAGAUAUUGGAAAACAUUACUCCAGCCCCACCAUCCCAACCAUUUACUUAGUUCAUCAGUAAAAGCUGGAUUUUCCAUUUGUUCUUGAGAUUCAAAUUAAGGCAACAAGUUGCUCAUUCUAUAUUAUCUAUGUAAUCCUGUAAAAGUGAAGGGCGUUUAGAUGUGGAAAAACCUUACUCCUGCCGCAACACCUCAAACAGAUUGUGAUCAGACAAGACUUAGUUCAUCAUUAGUAGUAGUUGGAGCUUCCAUUUGUUCUAGAGAUUUAAAGGCAGCAAGCUGCUUCCUCAGUGCUACUAAUUCUUCCCCGGCAUUGCAUAUGUAGCCUGAGGCUUGUCUACCAGACAAAGUUGCUCCUUCCCUGCUGUACCGUACAUCCGCCUUGGCCGUACAGCAGGUAAAGAGUAAAGUAUUAUUCUGAUUAAUUUUAAAAAAUUAUUUUAUCUUAAUCUUUAAUGCAACAUAGCUUUUUUUUUUUCUUAGCAACAAAUCAUUGUUCCAAAUAAUUAUUAUUGGAUUCAAAUCAUGUCCUAGGCACUUCCCCGGCAUUGCAUAUGUAGCCUGAGGCUUGUCUACCAGACAAAGUUGCUCCUUCCAUACUAUCUAUGUAAUCCAGUGAGAGUGAAACCAUUUAGAAGACGUAUCUCUUUCUUUCCAAUAUUUAGAAUGAAACAAUUAUAUACAGUUACCUGUUUUGCAUAUGAGCCGGUGAGGAAGAAGUUCUUCACUGGUGUCUUUUGAUCACGUCUGAAGGGGUCUUUACCAGGUCCCUCACCGCACAUAGAUUGCCCGAUUUUGACGAAAGAUGACCAAAUAACUUCCAAACCUUGGGAUGAUGGAAAUGGAGCUAAAACCUAAUAAAAGGAACCGUGAAUGGAUAGUAUGGACUCAUGUAUAUUAUCCAGAAAGUUGCAUGACCUUUUGUGGUACUCAGGUCACUAAAAAACGUGAGAUAAACAUCUAGGAUAAGAAAAGCAAAAAAGCAUAACCUAAUACGUAUUAUAUGAAUUGAAGGUGUCACUGAACGCUACCAACCUGCUUUGCCACUCUCCUUAUGAUUUCAUCAUUUGGUAAGGGCAUAUAAGGAUCUCCAGGCGUCAAAACGCGUCUGAAAGAUAAUAUGGUUAUAGUAAACAACAUGGAAUACAAAGACACUUGGCAAAAGGAAGUCAAUCAGAUUCCAUGCACAAAAAAUAACUAAUAAUGACGACGAUAAGAAAUUUUUCACACCGGAGCCUUCUCUAUAGUAGUCUUCUGGUGAAGUAAGUGCUAGAUCUGCAAAGCAAGAGAAAUCUGCAUCUGGAGUAUAUAAAAGGUUAUCUAACCCCACAGCUUGCCUCAAUUGCCUACAUGUUCAAAACAAGGAUCUAUUAAAAAAUGGAAAUUUCUUCAAUGCAUUAGUGAAGGGAAGUGAAGUGAAAGCGGAUUUCUUAAGCCUUCACAGAGCAUCUUGUGUUUGAAUUCCGGUAACCUCACAAAAGAUUAGAGCAUCACCUUGACCGUUCUAGGUCUUGCAACUCAGUAACCCAACCAUUGUAUCUAAGCUGCACUGUGACAACAUGAACUCCAACGAGCUCAUAAAUAUUGUUGAAAAAUUUCAUUUCCCUCCAGCCUCCACAAUGAUGAAAGCAAUCUUUUAAUUCCAGGGACAUCACAUGCUGCCAUUAAAUAAGAAGUUGAAUAAAGAAAAAUCGUUCAACUAAAUGAUUCAGGAGUUAAAAAAAAAUGUAGAAGUAGAAAUAAAUAACAAAGAUUUAACCAUAAACCUGCAACAUUUGCAUCAGCUUGCACAACCUUCUUGUCAGUGGCCUGAAAUAGAAUGAGAAAUUGAAAGACAGUAAGCAUUAAAGAAUAAACUCAAAGAAGCUGCUUCUAACAGAUGAUAUAAACAAUAAAUUUACAAAUGUCAGUGUUAAGCAAAUAAAAGCACCAGGUCGGCCAUGAUACUAUUUCCACCCCGGCAUGAAUCACCUCAGCCAAAUGGUACGAGCAGAACAGGGGGUAACAUGAGCCGAUCCGAGACGAAUACUGACCAGAGCCAUAUACCGAGCCGGUACCCGUCCCCCAAAAAGUGGAAACACGAUCUCACAGAAUCACGGUAGUUGCGUUUUCCCAGAACCGUUGCGGGAGACGCGAGAUCCCAUGUUUGCCCAUAAUGCAGCAGUUAGAGUCCCAUGAGAGGCUACCACUACCCGAAAAAGGUGGGAUGAAGGGCAAACGGGAACGUGGGGACAGCGGCUAUAAAAGAAGAAGAAAUCGAUGAAGAAGGGGACAGAAAAAUGAAGAGAGGGAAAACGCUGCCAAAUUGCAAUUAGGCAUUUUUUACAAACUUCGAAACAAGUUAGAAACCAUUCUUGAAUCCAAAUUACAUUGUUUUCCCGUAAACACCUUGUGCUAACUUAGGCAUCGGAGGGUUUACGCCGGCAAAACCACCGGCGUCUCUGAUCCGUUUUUGGUGAACGCAGGUCUAGUAGGAGACCCACCAAGCAAAACUAUUAGUAGUUUUAAGUGAUCAAGAAAUAACCAUACCACCAAUUUCACCACCCUUAUUUACAAAUGUAUGAGUAUGAUCCUUCAUGAGUAAAUUUUUGUCCACACCUACCUGUCGAAAUGCUUGAAAAACUAUCAGAUCAUAAACACAGGCUCCAGUUAAAGAGGAUCUAUGAUUCUGAUCCAUCAUGUUAUUUGAACAACAUUUUCGAAUUUUGGUACAACCCUAAGCUAUAAUCAGUUGUAGUGGUACAACCCUAAGCUAUAAUCAGUUAUCAUCACUACAAAUGAUAUGGUCAAGAGGAAUGAUAGUUCUUGUUUCAAGUAUCUCAAAUCAUAAUUCUUUUGCAUGGCUUGUGUGCUUUUAUAAUCAUUCAAAUACGCAUAUCCACAACUAAGCAAGCUUUACCAUUUUCAUCAAUCGGAAGAGAUUAUUGUAGCAUCCAAAGAAAACGUGCAGGCCCAUUUCAAUAUGGUUUUCACGUUUAUCGACAAAUGAACCCACUUUACCACCAAUAAAAGACCUCGACUCAUAUAUAUCCACCUGGAAGAAAGGAAAAGUUAAAAAAAAAAAGUGUUGAGAAUUAUGUUUGAUUAAACUUAAUUCUUUCCCCAAGAAAUCUCCACACACUGAUCUUAUUGAAACAAGAAUGAAUACCCAAGAUAGUAAUCAGAAAUAAAGCAAGAGUGUUUAGACAGAAAUAGAGAUUAAAAGCAUAGAAUAAACCGGACACAAGGAGAAUUAUAGAGGUUCGGCUGGGUAGCCUACAUCCUCUUGAGAAACAGAAGCCAUAGCUUUUCUUUGAUGCUUAACAGAUUACAAGACUUAGAGAGUUUGUUACAAAGAACGUUGGUUAUCUAAACUUGGCCUUGGAGACCUUAUAUACAGCUCUCGAAGGAUCCAGAUAAGUGUGCUGCUUGCCAGCUCUUGUUCUGGGUUUGUUGAAACAAACCCAGAAAGUUCCCGCCAAGGCUAACCGUUGAUAACAGCCUUUUAAUUAGAAACGACACUUGCUGCUGCCGUUUAACUAAAGCUUGAAUCCGUAGAUGCUCGUGCAAUUCACGUGCAUUACUUAAGCUAUUCGUGUGACAGGAUAUGGUUGUCAUAUGCACAGCAUUAUCUGUCUGAUUGCUUUGUCGUUACUUGAUUAAUCCUAGACACGACAAAGUCAUCUUCUCCGUAAGCUCUUAAUUCAGGUUCACAAUUAACAAAAAGGAAUAAAAAUUCUUCUAAUUUCUUACACCAUCAACAAAAUCAGAAUAACACAUACUAGUUCAAAAUGAAAUAAAGUUUGUGAAUUGAAAUAAUGCCAACUCCUAAGAAAAAUUAUGACUGCUGAUAUUUUUUCCGAAACGCUGAUAAAAGCCUCUGCUAUUUACUUUGAAAAAAUUGAGGUUAGAAGCCAAUUUACUUGAAAUUUUUGAGUUUAGGCAAGAGGAUGAAUGGUAAAACUGAAACAUAUUAGGGAAAAAUGUACUUCAGAGGCCAAUGAAAGCAUUCAGAAGAUUGAAAACUAAAUGAGCAAAACCUCGUGGCCAUGAUCCAACAAUUCCACUGCUGUUGACAUGCCUGCAAGCCCAGCUCCAAUAAUAGCCACUUUCAGCUUUGGUCCUCUAUAAUGUUCCGGUUCUGGUAGAAACAAACCCUUGGGAGCUGCCAAGUAUACCAUCCAAUUAUCCACAGACUCCAAUCCAUAAACAAUUCUGCCACAAAUUCAAUCCAAAAUUGUUCAACUGCACCGCCAAUUCUCCAUCAAUUCCCUCAAAAAUUCAUAAUUGCCAAACACUGCAAACCAAAAAGAGCUUCCAGCAAUAAACGCAUAAAAAUCCGCCAAACAACAUAAAACAAAAUACCUAGAAACCAGAAAAGCCAAAAGAUCAAUGCUUGGCAAACAAGCAAAUCAAAUAAAACAAAAAGAAGAGAAAUUUACCAUUAACGCUCAUAUCAGAAACAUUCGUGUCCAAAGAAGCCCGUACGUGGAAUCGUGGACCCUUCACUUGAACCCGAGACCAUUUAACGCCAGUAACUGAAGUUGCAGGAAGCAGAAGUGAAGAACCCAUAUUGCAAAUCCUGAGCUGAAAUCAAGAAAUUCAAUUGGAACUCAAUUCAACUCAACCCAGCUGAGCUCUCUUUUGCUUCAAUAACAAAGUGUUUUUCUUUUAUAUCAACAAAGAUUUGUCAACAUCAACAAAAUUUAACUAAGAAACUAAAAUAAUAAAAGAGGGCACCUUUGAGUUUAAGAAUCUAACAAGAUGCUAAGGAAGAGAGUUUUGUCAGGGAACUGUUUCGGAGAGGUUGGCCAAGUGCUUUUUUGUUUGUUUGUUUGUUUUUUUUUUUUUUUUUUUUUAUCAUUUUGGCCCUUUUCAUUAAUACACAACAUUAGUACUCGCGAAGAGCACAAAAUGUUGGUGACUUUGUCACUAACGAUAAUGGAUGGAGCGACCAAAGCAACCAACUAAAUUUUAAAGAGAGGGAAUGACAAGCAAUAUUUUAAUUGGGUGAUUAAUUAAUGUAUUAUCAAGCAAUUGCAUUUAUUUAUUUAAACGAGGGUUUGGCUACAAUGCCGUUGGCAUUGUAGCCGGCACCAUGCCGGGCUCUCAAAAAGAGAGCCCGGCUGUCUUUGGCUGCCAUCUGGCAGCCAAAGACUUGGUGCAGCCAGUUAACAAACCGGUUGCACCAUAUUUUUUUAAAAAAUAUAUUAAAAAUAUAAUAUAAAAAUAAAAAAAUUAAAUAAAAUGUCAAAAAUAAUUUUUUAUCUGCUGUACGGCCAAGGCGGAUGUACGGUACAGCAGAGUGUUUAGACAGAAAUAGAGUUAACGUCCGUUGUUGCAUGUCCGACGUUCGACUUGCAUGUUUGACGUUAGAUGUUGCAUGUUUUGGAUAAAUCCAAAAUAAAGAAUAUUCUCGAAUAUUCUCGCCCGUUUCAUGUUUGACGUCCAAGUUGCAAACUUUACGUGAUAAGUUGUAUAUUUCACGUGCAGUGUUGCAGGUUGCAUGUUUAACGUCCGUUAUUGCAUGUCGGACGUCCUGCUUGCAUGUUUGACGUUCGAUGUUGCAUGUUUUGGAUAAAGCCAAAAUAAAGAAUAUUCUCGAAUAUUCUCGUCCGUUUCAUGUUUGACGUCGAAGUUGCGAACUUUACGUGAUAAGUUGCAUAUUUCUCGUGAAGUGUUGCAAGUUUCAUAUUUAACGUUAGUUGUUGCAUGUUCGACGGUCGGAUUUCAUGUUUGAUGUAAGCUGUUGCAUGUCUUGAAUAAAGUCAAAAUAAAGAAUAUUCUCGAAUAUUCUCGUCUGUUUCAUGUUUGACGUCGAAGUUGCAAACUUUACGUGAUAAGUUGCAUAUUUCACGUGCAGUGUUACAGGUUGCAUGUUUAACGUCCGUUGUUGCAUGUCGAACGUCACGGUUGCAUGUUUGACGUAAGCUGUUGCAUGUCUUGAAUAAAGCCAAAAUAAAGAAUAUUCCCGAAUAUUCUCGUCUGUUUCAUGUUUGAUGUCGAAGUUGCGAACUUUACGUGAUAAGUUGCAUAUUUCUCGUGAAGUGUUGCAAGUUUCAUAUUUAACGUUAGUUGUUGCAUGUUCGACGGUCGGAUUUCAUGUUUGAUGUAAGCUGUUGCAUGUCUUGAAUAAAGUCAAAAUAAAGAAUAUUCUCGAAUAUUCUCGUCUGUUUCAUGUUUGACGUCGAAGUUGCGAACUUUACGUGAUAAGUUGCAUAUUUCUCGUGAAGUGUUGCAAGUUUCAUAUUUAACGUUAGUUGUUGCAUGUUCGACGGUCGGAUUUCAUGUUUGAUGUAAGCUGUUGCAUGUCUUGAAUAAAGUCAAAAUAAAGAAUAUUCCCGAAUAUUCUCGUCCGUUUCAUGUUUGACGUCGAAGUUGCGAACUUUACGUGAUAAGUUGCAUAUUUCUCGUGAAGUGUUGCAAGUUUCAUAUUUAACGUCAGUUGUUGUAUGUUCGACGGUUGGAUUUCAUGUUUGACGUAAGCUGUUGCAUGUCUUGAAUAAAGCCAAAAUAAAGAAUAUUCUCGAAUAUUCUCAUCCGUUUCAUGUUUGACGUCGAAGUUGCAAACUUUACGUGAUAAGUUGCAUAUUUCACGUGCAGUGUUGCAGGUUGCAUGUUUAACGUCCGUUAUUGCAUGUCGGACGUCCUGCUUGCAUGAAGUUGUUGCAUGUUCGACGGUUGGAUUUCAUGUUUGACAUAUGAUGUUGCAUGUUUUGAAUAAAGCCAAAAUAAAGAAUAUUCCCGAAUAUUCUCGUCCGUUUCAUGUUUGACGUCAAAGUUGCAUAAUUUACGUGAUAAAUUGCAUAUUUAACGUGACUUGUUGCGGGUUUCAUGUUUUACGUCUAUUGUUGCAUGUUGGACGUCACGGUUGCAUGUUUGACAUUAGAUGUUGCAUGUCUUGAAUCAAGCCAAAAUAAAGAAUAUUUCCGAAUAUUCUCGCUUGUUUUAUAUUUGACAUCAAAGUUGCAUACUUUACGUGAUAGGUUGCAUGUUUGACGUAAAAUAUUGUAGGGUAGGUUUAUAUAAAAUAACUAAUUAUAAAAUGAGAGUGCAUUUCAAAAUUCCUUGACAAAUCAAGUGAUAAUUUAUAACUAAACUUAUUUUUUUCAAAUUUUUUAUUAUUAAUUAAGUUUAAUUAAGCCAAUCUAUAAAGAAACAAAUGAAAAUAUAUUAAAAUUAAAUUAAAUUCAACUUUUACCCAAUAAAUAUAUUUAGGAAUAUAUCUAAUUAAACUGGUACACAAAUUACAAAUGUUUUCAUGAAAUUACACACAUAAGUUUAAUAGUCUAACUAUUUUUUACAUGAUUGAUAAAAUGAUGGCUUUGGAAAGAACUUGUGAUUUGAAAAGAAAAAUCUAGUUAAUUAUAAUAAAAUUACAUAUCUAAUCCNNNNNNNNNNNNNNNNNNNNNNNNNNNNNNNNNNNNNNNNNNNNNNNNNNNNNNNNNNNNNNNNNNNNNNNNNNNNNNNNNNNNNNNNNNNNNNNNNNNNNNNNNNNNNNNNNNNNNNNNNNNNNNNNNNNNNNNNNNNNNNNNNNNNNNNNNNNNNNNNNNNNNNNNNNNNNNNNNNNNNNNNNNNNNNNNNNNNNNNNNNNNNNNNNNNNNNNNNNNNNNNNNNNNNNNNNNNNNNNNNNNNNNNNNNNNNNNNNNNNNNNNNNNNNNNNNNNNNNNNNNNNNNNNNNNNNNNNNNNNNNNNNNNNNNNNNNNNNNNNNNNNNNNNNNNNNNNNNNNNNNNNNNNNNNNNNNNNNNNNNNNNNNNNNNNNNNNNNNNNNNNNNNNNNNNNNNNNNNNNNNNNNNNNNNNNNNNNNNNNNNNNNNNNNNNNNNNNNNNNNNNNNNNNNNNNNNNNNNNNNNNNNNNNNNNNNNNNNNNNNNNNNNNNNNNNNNNNNNNNNNNNNNNNNNNNNNNNNNNNNNNNNNNNNNNNNNNNNNNNNNNNNNNNNNNNNNNNNNNNNNNNNNNNNNNNNNNNNNNNNNNNNNNNNNNNNNNNNNNNNNNNNNNNNNNNNNNNNNNNNNNNNNNNNNNNNNNNNNNNNNNNNNNNNNNNNNNNNNNNNNNNNNNNNNNNNNNNNNNNNNNNNNNNNNNNNNNNNNNNNNNNNNNNNNNNNNNNNNNNNNNNNNNNNNNNNNNNNNNNNNNNNNNNNNNNNNNNNNNNNNNNNNNNNNNNNNNNNNNNNNNNNNNNNNNNNNNNNNNNNNNNNNNNNNNNNNNNNNNNNNNNNNNNNNNNNNNNNNNNNNNNNNNNNNNNNNNNNNNNNNNNNNNNNNNNNNNNNNNNNNNNNNNNNNNNNNNNNNNNNNNNNNNNNNNNNNNNNNNNNNNNNNNNNNNNNNNNNNNNNNNNNNNNNNNNNNNNNNNNNNNNNNNNNNNNNNNNNNNNNNNNNNNNNNNNNNNNNNNNNNNNNNNNNNNNNNNNNNNNNNNNNNNNNNNNNNNNNNNNNNNNNNNNNNNNNNNNNNNNNNNNNNNNNNNNNNNNNNNNNNNNNNNNNNNNNNNNNNNNNNNNNNNNNNNNNNNNNNNNNNNNNNNNNNNNNNNNNNNNNNNNNNNNNNNNNNNNNNNNNNNNNNNNNNNNNNNNNNNNNNNNNNNNNNNNNNNNNNNNNNNNNNNNNNNNNNNNNNNNNNNNNNNNNNNNNNNNNNNNNNNNNNNNNNNNNNNNNNNNNNNNNNNNNNNNNNNNNNNNNNNNNNNNNNNNNNNNNNNNNNNNNNNNNNNNNNNNNNNNNNNNNNNNNNNNNNNNNNNNNNNNNNNNNNNNNNNNNNNNNNNNNNNNNNNNNNNNNNNNNNNNNNNNNNNNNNNNNNNNNNNNNNNNNNNNNNNNNNNNNNNNNNNNNNNNNNNNNNNNNNNNNNNNNNNNNNNNNNNNNNNNNNNNNNNNNNNNNNNNNNNNNNNNNNNNNGGUCAAUUUCAAUAAAAUUACAACUUACUAGAGUAAAUCCAUCUACUAAACAUCCAAAGUUCACAACAUAAUAUUUGAAUAUCACCAAUAACAUCCCCAAUCCUAAAGAUUGCAACAAAUUCAUGUAACAUUUGAGGGUAUUGUUUGGGGGUAAAAAUAACGUGACCAAGUACACAUAAGUAGAACGUGCACCCCUCAGUCGGCCUAAGGCGACUCCUUGAGGAAAGUCUUCCCCGAUGAGUUGAGCAUUGGAGGGUUUAUGUUAGAAAAAUCUCCGACAUCCCCUAACUAGUUGUUAUGAACGCAAGCAUCCUUGGAGAAAGAGCUUGAGGUCCCAAGAGCCUAUUCGAUAAGAAAGAUAGAAGUACAAACCGACUCCCCAACAACUACUAAUUUAAGUGUUGGCGUGGUUGUCUGGUCGCUUCACAGCUCGACGAGAAUUCAACAUCAACAAAUAUUUUAGAACCUAGUGUAUCUUCAAUCAUUUUGGAUUAAAUUGUAUGACACUUUUUUCUUUUCUUCUCUUUUUUUGUGAAAACAAAUUUUAAUACACUUAUUUUAAAAGAAAUUUGUUAAUGAAAAACAAAAUAAUGACAAUGAAGAGCACUCAUUUAUAAAAAUAAGCUACAAAUAGAAAAACAAAAUUCAUAUAAGUAGAAUCUCCCAAAAAAUAAAAGCAUUGUCGAAUUGAGUUACAAACUAAUAAUAAUUUCAUCAAAGUUUGUAAACCAAAGAUUGUCCUAAUAUCAAAAAGUUUCCAAUAAAACACUUAUGCCAGAUAAUUUAUAGAACCUAGUAAUAUCCAACUGAAUUCUCCCCUGGAAAUAAUUAAAAUUUUCAAGUUAGUCAAUAAGAAAAAACAGCCAUCAAUCAUAAUAAGAAGCAACAGCAAAUUACACUAAAAAAAGCCGUACAGCAGAACAACAAAUAUAAACAAGAAACAACAAUUAAAAAAAACCCAAAAAUGGCAUAAAAAGAUGCUCAAAGCAGCAAUAAAUUUAUAAAAAAUACCCUAAAAUAGCAGUGAAAAGUGCUUUAAAAAGCAUUAAAAAAAUCCAAAAACAAUAGUAAACAUGCCUAGAAAUAGUAGAAAAAAACCCCCUAAAAUAGCAAGAAAACUGCCUAAAACUAGAAAAAAAUCUAGCAGCAAAAUCUUCCAUUGCUAGAUAAAGCUAUGAAAGAAAAGAAAUAAAAUUCAUAAAGAGUCAAAGCUAACAUACUGACCACUUGCUAGAAAUUAAGCUAUAAAUCCCAAAUUUUUACAACAAAUUAGUAUCUGAAACAAGAUUGGUUUGAUAUAUGAUAGUCAAGUAAAAUACCUAUAAAGUAGUACAAAUUCAGCAAACCUAAUGGCUUCACUCCACUCAUUUUCUUAAGACUCCAGUGAUGAGAAGCUGCCAACAGAAUGAUAAAUUGAGGUUUGACAGGAAGCACACAAACUAAACAAGAUACAUAACAACUUUGUUAUCCAUGUUACACCCUAGAACCAUUUCUAGGAAUAUUUGUUAGAAUAGCCACCAUAACAGUUGAUGAGCAACAUAAAACAGAGACAACAACAAAACCAGCAACCUGCAAAGUGCCAAUUCUUCCAUAAUUAAAUCAGAUACACAAUAGAAAUAAUUUACUAUUAAAAUCCCAAAUUCAUUUUAUCUUCUUCCUGCAUUUUCUCAUCAAUCAAACAUAAAAGAGAGCUCCUAUCGACACAUGCAAACAGCACCCACCAUCUUGUCGCAUUCAAACACAACCCAAGAUCACAAAAGUUAAUUUUCUAGAUUUAGUUAACCAAAGAAAAUAUACCAUCAACUGGAUCACCUUAUAAAUCAAAUACAAUUCCACAAUAUUACCAACCUCCCAAAAAAAAAAGGCACAAACUUUAAAAUGAAAACAACAACACCAUGAAAAAUAAGCAAAAGUGGGUAUUUAAAUCAAACAUGAUAGAAUGCAACAAAAGCAAAAAAGCUUUCGAUAGAAGCCAAAGCUAGAUGGGGUACAAGCAAGCUAGGAGGUACCAAUUAAAGAUGCUUCAUUCAAGAACAGAAAAGCUACCAGAAUGAUAAAAGUAGAAAAAAUGAAACAAUAAACAGAAAAUUGGGUGAAAGCUGCAACAAUAGUUUCAAUCACUUAACAGUACCAGCAAACUUAUAGUAAACUUUAAGAACCAGAUGUUUAAGCCACAGAUAACGGGGACGUACCCAUGAGGAUAAAGACACAAGCGUGAGACCAGCAAAGCCGCCCAUCCUCAACUUGUGCUAAAGCCGCCCAUCCUUAACUUGUGCAGGAAACAAAGUCGAAUGAAAAAGGAGGCAACGACGGUAGCGACGAAAACAGCUGGAUCGGAAGCGAACAGCUCAAGAUGAAAGCAACAAGUUAAUGGAUUGGAUUGUGUGCGUGAGAUGUGGCUUCGAUUUUAUUUGAUUAGUCAAGAAAUCGAAGAGAGAAAUUAGAGAGAAAUUUGUGAUUUCUGAGAGAGAGGCAAGAAAUUGAGAGAGAUUGGGCACGGUUGAAACACCUAAAUUAUAAAAAUAUAAAUUUUGCAGCCUUUGGGAACUGGUUGCUUCGGUUGCCCUUUUUUUGUUUUUUUUUUUAUUUCUUUUCAAUGUCAGCCGUUGGAUUCAUUUUACUUGAAUCCAACGACUGCAUUUACAAGCCAGCACAAUGCCGGGCCUCAAUGCCCGGCAUUGUAGCUUUAGCCUUUAAACGAUGUCCUUAUCGUUGGACAAGGUUGAGGAAAGACAGCGAUGUUGUGUUGUCACGUAUUUUUGGGCCGACCGUUUCCAGUUCCGGCUUAAAUGAGGCUUUUGUAUUUUUGUGCCCUUUUUUUUACUGAGUAUUUUGUCCUAAAUUACACCAAAGAAAAUGUGGACUUUAGAAUGUGACAGUAUUGAUAUCUAAGUUCAUAAUAUCAUGAUAAAACAAAUAAAUGAAUAGAAAUGUAAAUAAAUUUGGUUAAAAUUUAAUGGCUUCGAAUUCGGUAUGUUAUCAAACAAAUCAUACUCUUAGGAUUUGGAUUCAAUUCAUUUAUUAAUUGGAUGUCUAUUUAAUUCGUUUAUUAUACAAAAUUAAAUGAAUUGAAUUGAAUUUAGAUUCAUUUACAAUUUGUUUAAUUUAUUUAUGUAAAAUUAAUAAUAAAUCAAUCAAAUGUGGAUUUGUUUAAAAAAUAAUAAUAAUUAAUAACAAAAAUCAAGCAAAGUAAAAUAGAAAAAAAAUCAUAAAAUUAACAACCUACAAAAUAAAAACGAAUUAGUGACCGCAAACUUGAAUUCAAUUCAUUUAUUUAACGAAUUGAAUUGAAUUCACUUAUUUGUUAAUGAAUCAAUUUUUUUUUUAAAAUUCAAACCUAUUUAACUUGAAUCAAAUAAACACAUCCUAAUCUAAAUUGUCACCUCUAAAUAUGAUGGACCUAUUUAAAAUAUAUGAAUACCAAAAUGUGUGGGCUAAAAAGUGGUUUACCAUGCAACAAUACAAAGUUUAAGCUCUCUUUUCUUAUGUCAUCCAAGGCAUUGCCUAGAUCGCCAAACACUAGAGUUCAAGUCUACAAUAAAGAAUCGAAAUUUUCCUUUGUAUAUGUUCGUAAGUAUUUAGCAUAGAUUUUUUAGUUAUACUUGAUAGAUCCCCUACCAUAUUUGCUAUAAUAUUUCUCUUCUAUUUAAAAGUAAAUAAUGCAUAAUAACGGAUUUGUAAAGAAAUGAAAUUUCCAGUAAUUAUCUGAAAAAAAAAAGAUGGAUUAAGCGAAAGAAGUUAAUAUAGAGUAAGUCGAGUACUUGACAAUUAAAGUAAUUUUACUCGAGGUUGAGUAAGGAUAGUAGGAUACUUUCCCAAGUUUUCCGAGGACAUUCAUGUAACAUUGGACUAUUGACUAUAGUUAGAGAGAAGUCCUAGGAUGUAAGUGAUGAUGAUAGAUUCACAAUUCUUUUGAAGAAAAUAUUUUAUAUAAACUUAAUUAUAUGGUAUAAAAUGAUUGGCCUUAAUAAAAUUAAAAAAUAAUAAAAAUAAUACACGCCUGGGUCAUGCAAUAUUUUCAACCAACUAAUUUACACGCAAAAUUAAACCUUAUGAGUGAGAACAUUAUGGUACAUUUAUUUGCUAGCAAAAACUCCGCAAAAAUUUUCCGAAGUGUGAAAAUGAACACUUUUAACAAUGGCACAAAAUUCCCACCCCCCAUGAUUAAUUCUCUUAUCUGGAAUAUUAGGGGGCUUCCCCUGCGGAAAUUAGUUCGAUUACAUCGAUUGUCUUUGAUUUGUGUGUUGGAGCCAUUUAUUUCCGUUGAUCGUUUAGAGGCUCUUCGGGUGCGACUUGGGAUGGAUCAUGCUUUAUCUUCCCAAUCUGGGAAGAUUUGGGUUUUCUGGUCCGCACCUUUCUCGGUGGAGCUUUUGCAUGACAUGGGCAAGGUGAUUUAUUAUCGGGUUAGUCACUCUUUUUUUCCUGAUCCUGUGUAAGUUUCAUAUGUGUACUCUAGUUGUUAUAUGGAUGUGCGAGAGAAUUUAUGGGAUGCUCUUAAGACCUUUGUGGAUAGUCAUGACCUACCUUGAAUCGUGGGGGGAGAUUUUAAUAUGAUUCAGGCGGUCUCGGAGAUUUCUGGCUGGCAUCUACAGACUCGGGGAGCUAUUGAUGCCUUUAAUUUAGCGUUGCUUGAUUGUGGGUAGGAGGAUGCUAGCUUUGUUGGCAGUCCUUUUACUUGGACUAAUGGGCGCCCAUGGAGGCAGCUUGAUAGGGUGGUCUGCAACACUCACUAGUAUGCUUUCUUCUCAGUAUUUCGGGUCUCUCAUCUGAAUCGUACUGCCUCAUAUCAUUCUCCUUUGCUUUUUUUUUGGUGAUCGGGACGCUGUUAAAGGACCUUUACGGUUUAAAUUUCUUCAUGUGUGGCUCAUGCAUCCAGGUUUUCUUGAUACUGUGCGGCAGUCUUGGGGUGCUCCGGUGGUUGGUUUUGGAAUGAGAGCCUUUCAACAAAAACUCACUCGGUUAAAGUUCUGCCCAAAAGCUUGGAACAAAAAUGUCUUUGGUAACGUUUUUUAUCGGGUCCAACAAGCAGAGGAGGACGUGGCUCAGAAGGAGAGAUUGUAUGAUAUUUCUGGCUCCGCCGAUUACAGAGCUAAUUUUUCUGAGGCCAGGGCCUGGUUGCAGCAUGCUUUGCUUCGUGAGGAGAUUUUUUUUUGCGUCAGCAGUCCUGUGUUCGAUGGGUUCGAGAGGGCAAUACUAAUACCUAUUUUUUCCAUGCGAUGAUCCGGAAAAAGCGCCAGUUGUUUUAUAUUCACAGGAUUCGAGUUGAUUGUUUCUCAGAGUGGAUUUCUGAGCCCUCCGCCAUUGUAGAUUAUGAUGUCGAUUAUUUUCAAGAUUUAUUAACGGGAGAUGCCAGUCAAUUUCAGCAGACGGACUUCGAAGUUAUUCCAUCUCUUGUGUCUGUAGAGGAUGAUGUAGAGUUAUGUAGAGAGCCGUAUAUGGAUGAGAUUAGACAUGCGGUAUUUUUUAUUGAUCCAGAUAGUGCUCCUGGACCGGAUGGUUUUUGUAGCAGAUUCUAUCAGUCGUGUUGGGACAUCAUUUGCCAUGACUUGUUAAAUGUUGUCCUCGAUUAUUUUAGAGGUUCGGCAUGCCCAGAGGUUUCCAAAGUACUUUAUUGGUCUUUCUGCCUAAGAAGGCUUCUCCGGCUUCUUGGGCUGAUUUCCGUCCAAUUAGUCUUUGUAAUGUGAGCAACAAGGUCCUUACUAAGUUGCUUGUCCCAUCUCCUGCCUCACAUUAUUUCUCCUACUUAGAGUGGUUUUAUUCCUGGUCGAGUGAUUCAUGAUAACAUGCUCCUGGCUCAGGAGUUCGUUCACGAUCUCAAUCGCCAUACUCGAGGGAACAAUGUGGUUCUGAAAUUAGAUAUGGCGCAGGCAUACGACGUAUGUCAUGGCCUUUUAUUAUUAAGAUGAUUCACUGUUUUAAGUUCUCGAAGCGUUGGAUUGCUUUGAUUUGGCGAGCGAUUUACGGUCCUUAGUUUUCAGUGCUUAUGAACGGGGUCAGUAACAUAUAUUUCCAGUCCCAGAGUGGUCUUUAGCAGGGUGAUCCCCUUUCCCUUUGCUUAUUUAUUAUUGCUGCAGAAUUUUUAUCUCCAGGCUUAGAUCAUUUGUAUUCUCAAUAUCCCUCUGUUCGGUAUUGUUAUACUGCACCUACUUCUAUCUCCCACUUGAGUUUUGCGGAUGGUAUUGUUAUUUUUGCAAAUGAGAGCCGAUCUAACUUACAGUGGCUUGUGGAUUUCUUACACCAUUAUAAGGCGAUCUCAGGGCAGUUGAUUAGCGAGGACAAGAGUAACUUCUACAUUGGGAAGCCAGCUUCGACCUCCCGCCAGGCCAUUGUUCACUCUGUGCUUUCAGUGACGUCAGCUUCCGUUUACUUAUCUUGGGUGCCUGAUCUUUACAGGGCACCUCAAGAUCUCCUAUUUUGAUGACAUGGUCCGGAAGGUCAAGGAUAAGAUUUCUGGCUGGGCUAACCGUCUGCUUUCCUUUGGUGGGAAUCUCGUCCUCAUUCGCCAUGUGUUAUCCUCUAUGGCCCUGCACUUAUUUCACGUCCUCCGUCCUUUUAUAACGGUAGUUUAACGCCUAGAGCGAUUAUUCACCCGAUUCCUAUGCGGUGAUUUUGAGGGAAGACACCGGAUCCACUAGUGUAGAUGGCCAAAGGUUUAUUAUCCAGUUGACGAGGGUGGCCUCGAUAUACGAUCUUUUGAUGAUAUGGCGGAGGCUUUUGAGAUUAAACUUUGGUGGCGGUUUUGUUAGCAGAGUUCCUAUAUGAAGUCUAAGUAUUGCAGAUCUACGCAACCAAGCCUUAUCCAGUUUCGCUAUCUUGCCUCUCCUUUAUGGAGACACCUUUAUAAGAUUCGUUGCACGACUAAACCUCAUGUGCGUUGGCUCGUUAGGAGUGGAGAUUGUAGCUUCUGAUAUGAUUGUUGGCUGAGUUCUUGCCCUUUAUUUUUUUAUAACCCUACAACGGCUUUGUCGGUGUCGGUCUAGUUCUUUUGGCAGGGUACAAUCUGGGACAAAGGCAAACUAAAGGAUGUCUUGCCUUCAUCUAUUGUUGAGCAGAUCCUAUUAGUGCCUAUUUCUAGUGGGAAUCCAGACCUGAUUCGUUGGGACCUUGCCCCCGAUGGCACGUUUAACUUGCGGACUGCUUGGGAGCUUGUACGGUGCUCGAGGCCGAGGGAUGAGCUUUUCUCGAUGAUUUGGUAGAGGCAUAUCCUGUCACGAGUUUCCUUUUUUCUCUGGCAGCUACUUCACGGAUUCCUAGCUACUGAUGAUGCCUUAUACUUGAGGGGUUUCUACAUGGUUUCUCGAUGUAUUUGUCAGCGGGUUGCUGAGACUUCUCGGCAACUUUUUAUGGAUUGCCCGCGGGCCCAUCAUAUUUGGGUUCAUUACUAGCGGAUCAUGGGGAUGCGUGAGCUUUAUUUUCUGUCUCCCCGUACUUUGCUUUUAUUUUGGAAACAUUGUGCCCCUUCUCAGAAUCAUCAUCGGGUCCUUCUGCCUUACUUCAUUUUGUGGCAAAUUUGGAAGGCCCUAAAUGCUUUCUGGUUUCAUUCACAAUCUUUCUCCACUGAUGCGGUUAUCUUUCAGGUCGACUCUGAUCUCAGGCUUGCUAGUUCUGCUUUUGGAUUCAAGCCUCCCCAACUGAGGGGAGUCUUGGGUUCUCGUAUUGCGGAGAGCUUGCGAGUGACGGCUCCCCGUAGGAGGUCGAUUCGUCUAGUUGCUUGGAUGAGGCCAACUUCAGGGGUGGCUAAGCUGACUGUGGAUGGUUGCUCUAGGGGCAACCUUGGGAUGGCUGCUUCCGGGGGUAUUCUUCGGGAUCACCGGGGCGUGGUUUUAACGGCUUUUGGAUCCUUUUUGGUUUACAAGCCGAUCUUAUAUGCUGAGCUCAUGGUGGUGUGCGAGGGUUUGGAGCUUGCCAUUCAGCUUGGGUACUCAGUGCUCGAGGUUGAGUCAGACUCGGCUAUAGUGAUGUCAUGGAUUCACACCUCAGGGUCCUGUUCGAUGGGAAUGUUUUUAUUCUCUGCGCUGGGUGUGCCGUCUGGUAACGUCAUUCCCCAUUCAGGUGAGACAUGUUCUUCGCGAGGCUACUUAUGCUGCUGAUGUUCUAGCCAACUGGGCACGCACUCAUCGGACUAGCUGAUGUUUCUUAUCUCCUCGAGAGCUUCCCAAAGGCUUAUCUGGUAUUCUUUACUUAGAUGCCCACGCAAUCCCCCAUGUCAAACGUUAGGAUUUUAUCUUUUUCUUAUAUCUCAUUUUCUCUAGGAGGUUUUGGCUUAUAUCCCCUCCUUUGUAUCUAAUUCAUUUUCAGAUUUAUAUUAUAGGUAAGGGUUCCGUCUAACCCCACCACUCUGGUGGUUUAAAAAAAAAAAAAAACAAUGGCACAAAAUGCCUGUGAUAAUGAAACAAUGUGCCAUCCUUAAACUAAUAUCAUUACAAACUACAAGUGAAAGUUUUUGGAAAACAUGUGAUAAGUUUUUCUCGGAAUUUGUUUUCUUCUUUGUUUUGAUUUAAGUGUAAAAUUUUAAAAUCCGUAACAAAACAAAAAUUUACAUGGGUUGGGUGCACCUUGUGGUUCGUGCAUGCUUUCGUCUAAUAGUAUUUGAUACAUACAUAUUCAUUUUAAAAUUGACGAAUCGUAAUAAAAAAAUUUAUAUAUAAUAAUUGAAUGAGAUCCAUGGUUCACAAUUGCAAAUUAACGGUUGGUUUUAUAAUAAAAAUCUUUAUGUACAUACCAAAUUAAAAAAAGUUAUAAGUGAAUUAAGAUUUUCAAAAUUUGACUCGUAUUAUAUUGUGUACGUCAAUAUAAUAUAAAUUUGUUAUAUAUAUAUAUAUAUAUAUAUAUAUAUAAUCCAGUGCUUUGAAAAACUUUAUACUUGUUUGAACAGUUUUUUUGCUUUCUAUUUAUAUACGGUAUCAUUUAUGUUUACAUAAAUUUUCAUAUGUACCCAAAUUAAGCAUUAAAUACACAAACACUUUGUUAGGGCACAUGUAUAAUUAAUCUUAAUAAUUCUUAUACAAUCCUCUAUUUAACACCAGCAACGUCACCCAUUAUAAUUUAUCACUAAAUAUUGUAAAACUAUUGGUUUUCACGAAUAACUAAUAAAAAUUAUUUUUUUUAAAAGAAAAAUACUGCGAUUCCUUUCACUGUUGUAGUAGUAUAGUUAUCGUGGACGAUGAAUUUCUAGUAUUGUACAAUGAUAUUUAUGUUGAAUAUAACGCUUCAAUGAAUUUUAUUACUAUAUACUACAAUACUCAACCAUCUUCAUUAAAAAAAAAAAAAUUGCAUGAUUAGAAUGAUUAAAGUUCAUCUAAUGACGAGUUUCAUCAUUGACUGUGUCCAAACACAGCAGCAAUCCAGAAUACAUUUAACACGAGAGGCGCACACAAACAUGCAUGAUGAAUCUUCCACCAUUAAACCUGAAAUCAUAAAAUGAAAGAAACAAGAUGAGUGUUGUUUGUCUGAAAGCCGAUUCGAGAAAAAAUAAUAAUAAUAAUAGACCUUUGUUAAUAAUUAAUACUAGUUGUCACUACCUUGUGCAUCUUCCUCCUCUGUAUCAUCGUCCUCUUCCAAUCACACCGCAAGACCAGUAUAUCUCGAGAAUCUUUACUGCCUUCUCACAGAUCCCAUUGCUGUCAUGUCUUUUGAGAUCUUCAAUCUUUUUGAAUCCCUCAGCCGCCUCCACCAACCGUGCAUAAUGAUUAAAAUAUCUAUUGGCGGUACCCGUAUUCAUUUCAGCUUCCCCGACCUUCAAAAUGUUCUCUAAUCCUUUUAAGCAAAUAGUGACGAUCUCUGGAUCAGCGUAUAGAAGGAGAUCACACAAUGGUUUUAUACACCCCUUUCUCACGAGGUACUUGAUUUGCUCAUGAGUACCACCUGAGAUGGCAUUUGAAAUUGCCCGAGCGGCCUCCUUCUUUGUAAAAAAUUCAGCAUUUUGAAGCAGAUCGACAAGGGGACCAAUUACGCCAGCAUCAAUUACCACCUGAAUCUGUUCCCUGUUACCAGCUGUAAUAUUUGAAAUAGUCCUGCAUGCCUCUUUCGCAAUGCCUGUACACUGAGUCAGGAAACCAUCUCCCUUCACAAUAUAUCUGACAGUCCACAGGGGAGGAGUGAGCCCGAAGGGGAAGGGUAAUGGAUGAAGAAGGAGCUUAACAAGUCGUGGACAGACAUCUGCCUCGAUCACAGCUUGAAUUUUGUCAUUCGUACCAUCAGAUAGACAGGAUAGUGCCUCGCAGGCAUAUCUCAAGACAUCGUUGUCAUUUGAAUGAACAAGUUGUGCAAGCGCAGGAAGAGCUGGCCUCACCUGAUCAAAUGGUGGCUCUGGCUUGCCCUGGCAAAAACGAGACAAUGUCUUUGUGGCAUUUCUUAGCAUUGAAGGCUUAGCAUGCUUAUUUAACUGUGCCAGCAACGGAAUCAAAGCUUUUUCACUGAGCACAAGAUCACGGUCUCUAGGUGAGCUACGAGCAAUAUUUCCCAGUGCCCAAACAGCCUUCUCUCGGACAUCAUCACUUGGAGAAGAAAGUAGCUUCACAAAUAUUGGAACAGCACCGCCGUCGAUCACCACAUUAGUAUUCUCAGAAGCAAUGUUUGUAAGAGCCCGAGCAGCUUCCAACUGAAGCUGCGGAUUGUCUUCCCUAGUAAGAAACUCAACAAAGCGCGCGACAACGCCAGAUUGUAUGACUUUCUCACUUGGUGGUAGGAGCAGUUUUCGGAACCAAGUAGUUGCUUCCAGCUGCAAGCCACUGUCAUCUGACCAAACCCCAGCAAGCAUCCCAGGUAAACUCACCAACUUAUUUUAGGAGCAGGAGCAGGAGGAGGAAAUUAAGUUAGGGAUUUAGAGUGAGAGUGAAGGUGGAGAAAAAGCAAGAGAGGGAAAAAGCUUAUUGUUGAGAAAUAUGUACCUUUUGUAUGGUUGUGUUAAGGUCGUCCUUCCAAGCCCAACAUGCUUCACCAUGCCGCUCCACUUUGUGUAAUUUGGGUGUACUUAAUUUUCCUUCAGAGAAAAUCUUCAUAUCGGGGCAAUCAUCCACCACUAAUCUUUCUAAAGAUGGGAACUUGAAAGCACAAUUGCCAGAGCAGAAGCUUGUCAGGCGUUCUAAGUCUACAAGCUUCAACUCCUUCAAUUCUCUGAAAGUAAUAACCUCAUCUUUUGCUACAACAUCAUCCCCCUGUACUAUUUCUGUUAUCCUAUCGCAUGAUUUUAUCUUCAUAUAUCUAAGUCGCACCAGAGUCUUUGCAAUUAAGGAUGUUAAUACGAUUUUCAAGUUGUUGCAACGCGAUACCACCAUAUUUGUAAGAUUCUGAAAGGAUGUCGACGGUGGCACUAGAUUGACUAAAUGGUCACACCCCUUUACACGUAGAAUAACCAAGUUGUUCGUAACAGAGGACUCCCUUAUCAAAAUGUGCUCCAGAUGAAAUGCUUCUCUUAUUUCUACCCACAUCCCAUUUUCAACCUUCUCAUACGGCAACGAGGCACUAUAUCCUCCUAUUUGGAGGACUUUCAUUGUGUGAAGUCUCUGGAGGAAGUCACCAAGUGAUAAAAUCGUCCGCUCAUCACCCAAGUGAUAUUUAUUUGUCACUACGUGCUUUGCAUCAACUUUCAACUUUUCCAAAUUAGGGAAUACCUGGGAGAUCGAUCACAACCCCAAAAAAAAGAAAAAAAAGAAAUACAAGAUGAAUCAAUUGAUAAGAAAUAUAAGUUACCACUAAUUUAUACAAUAUAUUUUAUUCAAUAAAUCUUAACCUUUAAAAAAAAUAGUAAUAAUAGUAUGCCUAACAUCUAGAAUAAUUAUGAAUGAAUACUAUACACUAAUCCGUAAGAGAGUUACGUUGCUGACAAUUUGAGUUUUAGUAAGAAACCAAGCGAUGAAGGCAAAGGCAAUAUAACUCUAAACUCUAUGAUAUAAACUCUCACAGUGCAUACAUAAGAAUUGAAAAAUUGAUUAUAAAAUUCUUGUACCUACCCUUUCCGUGAAGAUACUAGUAGUUCUCACCAUGAAUUCAGGACAUUUAGAUAUCCGUAAUUCUUUCAAGGAUGGAAAUUCAAGAAUAUCAAGAUCUCCAGUGCAGAAGCUUGUGAACUUUUCAAGAUCAGACAUCUUCAGAUAUUGCAACUGAGGAAACAUUACAAUAUUUUUCUUCCUUUCUUCUUGGUUGUCCAUAACUAUUAACUCUUCCAAGACAGGACAUCCGACUAUCUCAAUGCAUUGGAGUUGAAC